UAACCCCUUUCCUUCUGUGCCUAUUAAGGUGAUUUGGAAAUUCUUACGCUGCUUCGGCGCUCACCGGCAUCUGCGUACUCCUCCCCGUUCCCGCACUGCCGCCGUCGCACUCCUCCCGGAACCCGCCGCCGCCGCCGCCGCUCUCCUCCCCAUCCCCGAACCUGCCGCGGCCCUCGAAGCACCCCCAUCGGGAGACCCUCUCGGCAGACGGGGCACAUACCACCCGCUUCGGCUCGCUCCGCAAGGUCGUUGCCGAGGCCACGGUCGCCGAGGGCCGCGUGUUCUCUUACCUGCAAGUCUUGAAUUUGGGCGGUGGCAGUCAGUACCUGGAGGAGUUGCUGCAGGAACAACAGAAGCUUGGGCGUUUCGUGCAGGUGCUCCCAAUCUACGGCAGGCUGCUAAAUCAAGAUUGGUAUGCUCAUGUGCACGAUGGGAAGUGCCCCCGUCAAGUCCACUGAAUCUUCAUUCUUGUGAUGUUUGCAUAUAAUGACUAAAUCUAAUACAUUAAACACACUGAUCAUCCAUGGAUUAGAGAGGAUGGAGAGGCCCCAGACAAACCACUUGAUCCGGUAGAAUGACGCAGUUCAGGGCAAUGAACAAGCUUAAGAAGGUUGCCUCGAAGAAAAAUUACACACAACAAAAGUUCCGGUGUUCACCGAAAGUUCCAGUGAGGGCAGUGCAUACUCGCUGGACUAUUUCUUGCAGAGAGUAAUUUUUUAGGUGAAAUUGAAGAUCAAUGCAUUGGAUGGUCCGAUGAGUUUGAUAGCUACAUCGGAUGGUAUUACCGGAGCUUUUUUUACAGAGAAGAAAUCUUUCGUAGAAAAAUUGGAAAUCUUCACACCGGAAGUUCCGAUGUAUACACCGGAAGUUCCGUUGUGUUUGUAUGUGAACUAGACCGGAUGUUCCGAUGAGUGGUAAUUCAGGUUGAGAACAGUGCGCACACCAGAUGUUCCGGUGUUCAGGCUGGAACAUCUGGUGUUCAGAAAACUACUGCGAUGUGCUCUGAAUUGAAUUUGAUUUCAAUUGAAGAUUUUGAUAUUGAGCUAACAUAAGAUGAUUUGGAGAUGGUUUGGAGAAACAUGUUUGCUUGUCUUAUGGUGUGUAGGUGAUGGAUGCAAUUUAACGGUCGACGUCGGGUGAUCAGGACCAAGCGGAGUGUUUAGUGCUGGAUGAUCAAGGAGGCUGGACGGAGUCAAGAGUGAUUCUAGAGGUACACGUGGAGGUCAAACAAAGUAUGAAAGAUGGAUGAAGAUACUGUGUUGACCAAGUCAAACGAAGGAGAUGUUGGUGCAAGUGACAAGGCUGGCUGAGGGAUCGAGAGUGGGAGAAACUUGCCGGUGGUCAAGAUCGCAAGACGGAGUACAUACGUCAAUAUCGGAGCGCUUGCUUAAGGUGUAAGCAAAACGGCGAGUCACGUUUUGAGAAGUGUGCUAGGGUUUCACGGUUUGGGCUCAAAACUGUGGGAGGUCUGGAGGGUCACAUGGUAUCAUUGCGAAGUUUGCAUCAAGACGAAGCUAAGUCAUGAACAAGUCAUGACUAUUUGAUGGAUGGAGAAAAAUUUAGACCAAAAUGGCCCGACGAUAGGUAGGAGGCCAUUGAAAAUUAGGGGUACUUUGGUAACAAGAAAAUUUAAGUGCUAAGCUAUCUUCCUAGGCCUAUAAAUAGAGGGUAGAGCUGUAGGGGAGUCUUGAACCAGCUAUUUGAGAAUCUAGUGAUAGGUUUUAGAGGAGAGUAGAUGAUAGGUUUAGCCUUUGUAAUAGGUUAGAGUUUUUAUGAGAGAAAAUACUUUAUAUUCUGUUUAAAAUAGGGCUGAUCUCUUAGCUUAAUGAAGUUUAUUUUCUCGCAAGUGUUCUUGUUCAUCUCUUUCUAGUCUCUUUCUGUUGGUUCAGUUUUUUUUUGCCGGUUUUACUUUUUUGAUGGUGAUUUUCGUUUUCAAUCUUGAGCUGAAAUUUUUCCACCUUAGCAAGGUAUUCUUUUUAUUAUUAAAGGCAUAAAAUUCACAUACACAUGCAUAUGUGAUGAGUUUUUAAUUUUUUUGCCUCUAGAUCAUCAACGUGGAGAGUUUCCAUUGCCCGGUGAUCUUCUUUGGUCUUGUUUCUUUUUAAAGUUACGAGCUUUUGUAUAUAAAGACAUAUGGAAUGGUCUUGAACGGAACCAAUGAUUCAUAUUUCAUCUGUGGAGUCAUAGUGCACUGAAUCUUUCU
Long non-coding RNA from Phragmites australis (common reed), 2203 nucleotides. RefSeq lists it as uncharacterized. The transcript is spliced from 3 exons. NCBI's taxonomy places the organism in Eukaryota, Viridiplantae, Streptophyta, Magnoliopsida, Poales, Poaceae. The record is from RefSeq and is a predicted model, not a curated record.